UAAUGCGAUCAUAUCAGCACUAAUGUACCGGAUCCCAUUAGAACUCCGAAGUUAAGCGUGCCUGGGCGAGAGUAGUACUAGGAUGGGUGACCCCCUGGGAAGUCCUCGUGUUGCAUCCC
Molecule: ribosomal RNA, 119 nt
Filed under: Nicotiana attenuata
Lineage: Eukaryota; Viridiplantae; Streptophyta; Magnoliopsida; Solanales; Solanaceae
Source: RNAcentral